Molecule: small nucleolar RNA, 74 nt
Filed under: Ursus thibetanus thibetanus
Lineage: Eukaryota; Metazoa; Chordata; Mammalia; Carnivora; Ursidae
Description: Small nucleolar RNA U3 (ENSUTTG00000001432.1)
Rfam family: Small nucleolar RNA U3
About the family: Small nucleolar RNAs (snoRNAs) are involved in the processing and modification of rRNA in the nucleolus. There are two main classes of snoRNAs: the box C/D class, and the box H/ACA class.
Source: RNAcentral
AAGACUAUACUUUCAGGGAUCAUUUCUAUAGUUUGUUACUAGGAAUAUAGUUAAUGAUAUUGUAGUAGCAUUGU